Molecule: ribosomal RNA, 510 nt
Filed under: uncultured bacterium
Lineage: Bacteria
Description: partial 16S ribosomal RNA
Rfam family: Bacterial small subunit ribosomal RNA
Source: RNAcentral
GACGAACGCUGGCGGCGUGCUUAACACAUGCAAGUCGAACGAAGAGCGAUGGAAGCUUGCUUCUAUCAAUCUUAGUGGCGAACGGGUGAGUAACGCGUAAUCAACCUGCCCUUCAGAGGGGGACAACAGUUGGAAACGACUGCUAAUACCGCAUACGAUCCAAUCUCGGCAUCGGGACUGGAUGAAAGGUGGCCUCUAUUUAUAAGCUAUCACUGAAGGAGGGGAUUGCGUCUGAUUAGCUAGUUGGAGGGGUAACGGCCCACCAAGGCGAUGAUCAGUAGACGGUCUGAGAGGAUGAACGGCCACAUUGGGACUGAGACACGGCCCAGACUCCUACGGGAGGCAGCAGUGGGGAAUCUUCCGCAAUGGACGAAAGUCUGACGGAGCAACGCCGCGUGAGUGAUGACGGCCUUCGGGUUGUAAAGCUCUGUUAAUCGGGACGAAUGGUUCUUGUGCGAAUAGUGCGAGGAUUUGACGGUACCGGAAUAGAAAGCCACGGCUAACUACGUG